GAAAGAGAGGGUGAGAAGAGUCUGAUUCUGGUCAAGAGCCCCACCUCCCUUCGAUUUGUGUUGGUAUAUGUGUUUGCUGCUGGUUCUGCUGUUGCCAAGCUUGGCUGCUGCUUGGCCUGACUCUACUUGUGCUGCUAAUAUGUGCUACUAUAUGUUGUUGGUUGCCUCCUUAUUUGGUUAUUUGUGAAUCUGGAAACACUGUGUGAGAAGCAAGGAUUGAAAAGAAGGCUAUGAGCCAAUGAGAAGAGCUUCAUUUUCAGUUCAGUUUUUUGUAAGAAUUGAUGAAGGACAUGGCAUAUGUUCAGUUGCUAACAUUCUCUCUAUGGUGUAUGCACUUGUUGUUCCUUGCAUUGGAGGGAGAGGAAAACUCUCUGUGAGAACAAAGGAUUGAAGAGAAGGCUUAUGAGCCAAUGAGAAAAACUGAACUUUUAGUUUUUUAUUAAGAAUUGAUGAAGGAUAUGUCAUAUGUUCAGUUCCUUACAUUUUCUCUAUGGUGUAUGUACACUGCAUUCGAGGGAGAGGA
RNAcentral lists this ribosomal RNA (523 nucleotides) under Triticum aestivum (bread wheat). RNAcentral's name for it is "partial small subunit ribosomal RNA". Lineage: Eukaryota; Viridiplantae; Streptophyta; Magnoliopsida; Poales; Poaceae. The record is from RNAcentral.